Molecule: signal recognition particle RNA, 296 nt
Filed under: Saimiri boliviensis boliviensis (Bolivian squirrel monkey)
Lineage: Eukaryota; Metazoa; Chordata; Mammalia; Primates; Cebidae
Description: Metazoan signal recognition particle RNA (ENSSBOG00000009786.1)
Rfam family: Metazoan signal recognition particle RNA
About the family: The signal recognition particle (SRP) is a universally conserved ribonucleoprotein. It is involved in the co-translational targeting of proteins to membranes.
Source: RNAcentral
GCUGGGCGUGGUGGCAUGUGCCUGUAGUCCCAGCUACUCGGGAGACUGAGCUGGAAGGAUCGCUUGAGCCCAGGAGUUCUGGGCUGUAGUGCUGUGCUGAUCAGGUGUCCACUCUAAGUUUGGCAUCAAUAUGGUGACUUCCCGGGAACAGGGUCCACCAGGUUGCCUAAGGAGGGGUGAACCGGCCCAGGUCAGAAACGGAGCAAGUCAAAACUCCCAUGCUGAUCAGUAGUGGGAUCACGCCUGUGAAUAGCCACUGCACUCCAGCCCGGGCAACAUAGUGAGAACUCAUCUCU